GACGAACGCCGGCGGCGUGCUUAACACAUGCAAGUCGAACGAUGAAGCCGGGGCUUGCUCCGGUGGAUUAGUGGCGAACGGGUGAGUAACACGUGAGCAAUCUGCCCUUGACUCUGGGAUAACUGCGGGAAACUGUAGCUAAUACCGGAUACGACACCUUGGGGCAUCCCAGGGUGUGGAAAGAAUUUCGGUCAAGGAUGAGCUCGCGGCCUAUCAGCUAGUUGGUGAGGUAAUGGCUCACCAAGGCGACGACGGGUAGCCGGCCUGAGAGGGUGACCGGUCACACUGGAACUGAGACACGGUCCAGACUCCUACGGGAUGCAGCAGUGGGGAAUAUUGCACAAUGGGCGAAAGCCUGAUGCAGCAACGCCGCGUGAGGGAUGAAGGCCUUCGGGUUGUAAACCUCUUUUAGCAGGGAAGAAGCGAAAGUGACGGUACCUGCAGAAAAAGCACCGGCUAACUACGUGCCAGCAGCCGCAGUAA
Molecule: ribosomal RNA, 483 nt
Filed under: uncultured bacterium
Lineage: Bacteria
Description: partial 16S ribosomal RNA
Rfam family: Bacterial small subunit ribosomal RNA
Source: RNAcentral